GGUCACGGGCUUGGGCCUAAUCAUCUAGUAUAACUGACUGCCACGUAGAACGGAUAGCAAAACAGAGAAGUUGUCAGCGAGUGAAACUCUUGUGAGGUCUGGGGGAGAGACAAGAAGCAAGCAGAAAGGAACCAGCUCUGACACGGACUUGGUUGUGAUCGUAUCACCUGCCCUCUGAAGGCCUGACAACCCUGUGCAAACAUUAAUGAGCUAAGCUUCUUGACAUUCCUAUGAGGUAUUCACAAUUCACACUGAUUGGUCACC
Molecule: long non-coding RNA, 264 nt
Organism: Chelonoidis abingdonii (Abingdon island giant tortoise)
Lineage: Eukaryota; Metazoa; Chordata; Testudines; Testudinidae
Source: RefSeq, a predicted model, not a curated record